RNAcentral lists this ribosomal RNA (478 nucleotides) under uncultured bacterium. Its description in RNAcentral is "partial 16S ribosomal RNA". It matches the Rfam family "Bacterial small subunit ribosomal RNA", at positions 28 to 523 of the family's 1533-position model. The record is from RNAcentral.
GACGAACGCUGGCGGCGUGCUUAACACAUGCAAGUCGAACGGUAAGGCCCUUCGGGGUACACGAGUGGCGAACGGGUGAGUAACACGUGGGUGAUCUGCCCUGCACUUCGGGAUAAGCCUGGGAAACUGGGUCUAAUACCGGAUAGGACCACUGCCUGCAUGGGUGGUGGUGGAAAGCUUUUGCGGUGUGGGAUGGGCCCGCGGCCUAUCAGCUUGGUGGUGGGGUGAUGGCCUACCAAGGCGACGACGGGUAGCCGGCCUGAGAGGGUGACCGGCCUCACUGGGACUGAGAUACGGCCCAGACUCCUACGGGAGGCAGCAGUGGGGAAUAUUGCACAAUGGGCGCAAGCCUGGUGCAGCGACGCCGCGUGAGGGAUGACGGCCUUCGGGUUGUAAACCUCUUUCAGCACCGACGAAGCGCAAGUGACGGUAGGUGCAGAAGAAGGACCGGCCAACUACGUGCCAGCCGCCGCGGUAA